UACGGGGGGGCAAGCGUUGUUCGGAAUUACUGGGCGUAAAGGGCUCGUAGGCGGCCAACUAAGUCAGACGUGAAAUCCCUCGGCUUAACCGGGGAACUGCGUCUGAUACUGGAUGGCUUGAGUUCGGGAGAGGGAUGCGGAAUUCCAGGUGUAGCGGUGAAAUGCGUAGAUAUCUGGAGGAACACCGGUGGCGAAGGCGGCAUCCUGGACCGACACUGACACUGAGGAGCGAAAGCCAGGGGAGCAAACGGG
This 252-nucleotide ribosomal RNA is filed under the name uncultured bacterium. RNAcentral describes it as "partial 16S ribosomal RNA". It matches the Rfam family "Bacterial small subunit ribosomal RNA", at positions 524 to 776 of the family's 1533-position model. The record is from RNAcentral.